Molecule: unclassified non-coding RNA, 152 nt
Filed under: plant metagenome
Description: partial contains small subunit ribosomal RNA and internal transcribed spacer 1
Rfam family: Eukaryotic small subunit ribosomal RNA (bases 1-46)
Source: RNAcentral
AAGCCGUAACAAGGUUUCCGUAGGUGAACCUGCGGGAGGAUCAUUAAUAAAUGGCGAAAGCUUUCUAUUAUCCAUAACACCUGUGAACUAUUUGCCUUCGGGCACCAAACCAAACAUAAUGUAAUGAAUGUAAUCUACUAUAAUAAAUAUAA